UACGUAGGGUGCAAGCGUUGUCCGGAAUUAUUGGGCGUAAAGAGCUCGUAGGCGGUUUGUCGCGUCUGCUGUGAAAUCUGGAGGCUCAACCUCCAGCCUGCAGUGGGUACGGGCAGACUAGAGUGCGGUAGGGGAGAUUGGAACUCCUGGUGUAGCGGUGGAAUGCGCAGAUAUCAGGAAGAACACCGAUGGCGAAGGCAGAUCUCUGGGCCGUAACUGACGCUGAGGAGCGAAAGCGUGGGGAGCGAACAGG
RNAcentral lists this ribosomal RNA (253 nucleotides) under uncultured bacterium. Its description in RNAcentral is "partial 16S ribosomal RNA". It matches the Rfam family "Bacterial small subunit ribosomal RNA", at positions 524 to 776 of the family's 1533-position model. The record is from RNAcentral.